RNAcentral lists this long non-coding RNA (442 nucleotides) under Suricata suricatta (meerkat). Its description in RNAcentral is "lncRNA (ENSSSUG00005009289.1)". Lineage: Eukaryota; Metazoa; Chordata; Mammalia; Carnivora; Herpestidae. The record is from RNAcentral.
GCUCAAAGGCUGCCCGGCGCGGACGCCCGCACUUCCUGGCACAAGCGGGCUAGCCAGCCGCAGCUGGGGCCGCGGGGCCGGGCUCGCCGCCCUCUCCCUUCUCCCUUCUCCCUUGAGUAAUAGGGGCGGAGCCGGGCGGGCCGGCGCGCGGGGCUCCAGCCCCUCUCUCGGUGGUCACCUGCGGCCGGGCGCAGCAGGUGUCCGGUCUGCCACCCGGCGCUGGGAACUAGGAGCGCUAGCCAGGAGCCGCGGCACUUCGGAGCUUAUUCACAUAAGCAUUCUGGUAUGCCAGGUACCAAGAAUAAGAUCACUGAAGGCAGUAAAACUGAAAUUGGAAGAUUAUCAGCCAAGAAAGACCUACUGGCAAAAGCAGAGGAUGGGAAAUAAAGUGGAGCGGUGUUUGGUUGCAUGUACUCUAGCAGGCCUUCUGCAACUCAGCUGA